GCCCGUUUAGCUCAGCUGGUUAGAGCGUCGUACUAAUAUAGCAGCAAUUUGCUGUUAUAUCAAGGUCCAUGCGAAGGUCAACAGUUCAAUCCUGUUAAUGGGCA
Molecule: non-coding RNA, 104 nt
Organism: Thermothielavioides terrestris NRRL 8126
Lineage: Eukaryota; Fungi; Ascomycota; Sordariomycetes; Sordariales; Chaetomiaceae
Source: the annotation of a RefSeq genome assembly